AAAUUGAAGAGUUUGAUCAUGGCUCAGAUUGAACGCUGGCGGCAGGCCUAACACAUGCAAGUCGAACGGUAGCACAGAGAGCUUGCUCUCGGGUGACGAGUGGCGGACGGGUGAGUAAUGUCUGGGAAACUGCCCGAUGGAGGGGGAUAACUACUGGAAACGGUAGCUAAUACCGCAUAACGUCGCAAGACCAAAGUGGGGGACCUUCGGGCCUCACACCAUCGGAUGUGCCCAGAUGGGAUUAGCUAGUAGGUGGGGUAACGGCUCACCUAGGCGACGAUCCCUAGCUGGUCUGAGAGGAUGACCAGCCACACUGGAACUGAGACACGGUCCAGACUCCUACGGGAGGCAGCAGUGGGGAAUAUUGCACAAUGGGCGCAAGCCUGAUGCAGCCAUGCCGCGUGUAUGAAGAAGGCCUUCGGGUUGUAAAGUACUUUCAGCGAGGAGGAAGGCGUUGUGGUUAAUAACCACAGCGAUUGACGUUACUCGCAGAAGAAGCACCGGCUAACUCCGUGCCAGCAGCCGCGGUAAUACGGAGGGUGCAAGCGUUAAUCGGAAUUACUGGGCGUAAAGCGCACGCAGGCGGUUUGUUAAGUCAGAUGUGAAAUCCCCGGGCUCAACCUGGGAACUGCAUUUGAAACUGGCAAGCUUGAGUCUCGUAGAGGGGGGUAGAAUUCCAGGUGUAGCGGUGAAAUGCGUAGAGAUCU
Molecule: ribosomal RNA, 707 nt
Filed under: Salmonella enterica subsp. enterica serovar Kentucky
Lineage: Bacteria; Pseudomonadati; Pseudomonadota; Gammaproteobacteria; Enterobacterales; Enterobacteriaceae
Description: bacterial SSU rRNA
Rfam family: Bacterial small subunit ribosomal RNA
Source: RNAcentral